RNAcentral lists this ribosomal RNA (1533 nucleotides) under Klebsiella pneumoniae. RNAcentral's name for it is "bacterial SSU rRNA". It matches the Rfam family "Bacterial small subunit ribosomal RNA". Lineage: Bacteria; Pseudomonadati; Pseudomonadota; Gammaproteobacteria; Enterobacterales; Enterobacteriaceae. The record is from RNAcentral.
UUGAAGAGUUUGAUCAUGGCUCAGAUUGAACGCUGGCGGCAGGCCUAACACAUGCAAGUCGAGCGGUAGCACAGAGAGCUUGCUCUCGGGUGACGAGCGGCGGACGGGUGAGUAAUGUCUGGGAAACUGCCUGAUGGAGGGGGAUAACUACUGGAAACGGUAGCUAAUACCGCAUAAUGUCGCAAGACCAAAGUGGGGGACCUUCGGGCCUCAUGCCAUCAGAUGUGCCCAGAUGGGAUUAGCUAGUAGGUGGGGUAACGGCUCACCUAGGCGACGAUCCCUAGCUGGUCUGAGAGGAUGACCAGCCACACUGGAACUGAGACACGGUCCAGACUCCUACGGGAGGCAGCAGUGGGGAAUAUUGCACAAUGGGCGCAAGCCUGAUGCAGCCAUGCCGCGUGUGUGAAGAAGGCCUUCGGGUUGUAAAGCACUUUCAGCGGGGAGGAAGGCGUUAAGGUUAAUAACCUUGGCGAUUGACGUUACCCGCAGAAGAAGCACCGGCUAACUCCGUGCCAGCAGCCGCGGUAAUACGGAGGGUGCAAGCGUUAAUCGGAAUUACUGGGCGUAAAGCGCACGCAGGCGGUCUGUCAAGUCGGAUGUGAAAUCCCCGGGCUCAACCGGGAACUGCAUUCGAAACUGGCAGGCUAGAGUCUUGUAGAGGGGGUAGAAUUCCAGGUGUAGCGGUGAAAUGCGUAGAGAUCUGGAGGAAUACCGGUGGCGAAGGCGGCCCCCUGGACAAAGACUGACGCUCAGGUGCGAAAGCGUGGGGAGCAAACAGGAUUAGAUACCCUGGUAGUCCACGCCGUAAACGAUGUCGAUUUGGAGGUUGUGCCCUUGAGGCGUGGCUUCCGGAGCUAACGCGUUAAAUCGACCGCCUGGGGAGUACGGCCGCAAGGUUAAAACUCAAAUGAAUUGACGGGGGCCCGCACAAGCGGUGGAGCAUGUGGUUUAAUUCGAUGCAACGCGAAGAACCUUACCUGGUCUUGACAUCCACAGAACUUAGCAGAGAUGCUUUGGUGCCUUCGGGAACUGUGAGACAGGUGCUGCAUGGCUGUCGUCAGCUCGUGUUGUGAAAUGUUGGGUUAAGUCCCGCAACGAGCGCAACCCUUAUCCUUUGUUGCCAGCGGUCCGGCCGGGAACUCAAAGGAGACUGCCAGUGAUAAACUGGAGGAAGGUGGGGAUGACGUCAAGUCAUCAUGGCCCUUACGACCGGGCUACACACGUGCUACAAUGGCAUAUACAAAGAGAAGCGACCUCGCGAGAGCAAGCGGACCUCAUAAAGUAUGUCGUAGUCCGGAUUGGAGUCUGCAACUCGACUCCAUGAAGUCGGAAUCGCUAGUAAUCGUAGAUCAGAAUGCUACGGUGAAUACGUUCCCGGGCCUUGUACACACCGCCCGUCACACCAUGGGAGUGGGUUGCAAAAGAAGUAGGUAGCUUAACCUUCGGGAGGGCGCUUACCACUUUGUGAUUCAUGACUGGGGUGAAGUCGUAACAAGGUAACCGUAGGGGAACCUGCGGUUGGAUCACCUCCUU